Non-coding RNA from Macaca mulatta (Rhesus monkey), 2099 nucleotides. The record is from RefSeq and is a predicted model, not a curated record. Lineage: Eukaryota; Metazoa; Chordata; Mammalia; Primates; Cercopithecidae.
AUUCUCCUGCCUCAGCCUCCUGAGUAGCUGGGACUACAGAAUGAUAGAAAUGCUGCGCAAAACCAACUCAACUGUUUUCAUCUCACUUGAUAUGUGCACAAUCUACCAACACUGCUCACCUUGGGCUUCUUGGUUGAUUUCAAACUCCUGGGCUGAAGCCAUCCUCCCACCUUGGCCUCUCGAGUAGCUGGGACUACAGACAAGAACCACUGCACCUGGCUCAAGAUUGUGUUAGCAGCAGUGACGCUGUUUGUACAGAUUCACUAUCUGCAGUAACUCAGUUCUUGCCUCCUUAAAAGAAAGAAUUCAUCUGAGGAGCAUAACACACAGUGUGAAAGUAUAUUUUAAAAGUUUUAGAGCAGAAAUGAAAGGAAGUAAAGUAUAUUUGGAAAAGGGCCAAGCAAGGAACUUGGGAGUUUCAAGUGCCUCCCCUUGACUUGGGGUUUAUAUGUUGGUAUGAUUCCAGGGUUUGUGUUUCUUCUCCCCUGAUUCUUCCCUUGGGGUAGGCUGCCCACGUGCGCAGUGGUCUGCCAGGACUUGGGAGGGGCCACAUAUAGUGUGUUUACUGAAAUUGUGCACAUGCUCAUUUGAGGCAUUUUUCCCUUACCCGUCACAUAUUCCCAGAAGAAGGUCAUAUACCAAUUAAACUGCCAUCUUGCCUCUUAGUGUGCAUGCCUGGGCCCACUAGCCCAAGUCCUGAGAUCUUACCGGGAAGCUGCUGCUCAUCAGCUUCAGGUGUUUUCUGUCUAUUGGGAGCGGGCCGUUCCCUGGCACCAGCUGUGACCAAUUACAACGUUAGCUAGACAGUUUAACAACUGCCUGACCAUCACUUGAUAGUCGCCUGACAUUCCUGGUGGAAGGGGGCCUCUUCUGCCCUGCUCAUAUCUGCCUAACUACCUACUCUAACAAUUACACUUUAAGAUUGAUCCUUUCCCUUUCAUGGGCAGUGAUUGCUUUCCUGAUCAUCUCAUUUCUUGUCCUGAGAACUUGGCUUGACUUUCCAUCUGUCAGGGGUACAUGGGUUGUUGGGUCUGUGUAUAUAGGUGGCCAAUCAAAAGGCUAGGAGCCUCAAGAAUAUGGCUAGACAGAAAUGGAGCUGCACCCCAUUUGCAGCUAGCAAAAUAUGGCCAGACAGAGAUGUGGGUUGAACUUAUUUGCAGCUAGACUGAUUGUGAUACAGGAGAGAGAAAGAAAUUAUUUAGGCAGAUAGUGACGGCAAAGAGUCCUUGGCAGAACUUCCCUUCUAACAAAAAAGCAUAACUAGAAAUCAUGUCUUUUCUAACAAAGAGCAACCUGAGAAAUAGGGGUGCAAAACAUAAAAAAGGAAGCUGGAAGCUUGCACAGGGGAAUGCCAGCAACCGCACCAACAAAAAAGGGCUACCUGGGAGACAGGCGUGUCCGCCAUGGAAGCUCCAUCUUCCCUUUUUUGUUAGCACAUGUACAGUAAGAAAGAAAUGGGCAACAUGAAGAAGCUCAGGCAGAGAACCCACCUGCAUAAUAAAAGAUUGGGGUGGGGGCUGCCAGAGAUUCACACCCUGUGCAGAUGGCACACCUGGUCCUAACUGAUUUUUUGUGUCCUACGUAGAUCAGACAUCGCCUUCAUCUUAACUCAUCUAUGAAAACCACUGCAUUUCACCACAAAUAGGCAACACAUUUUUCUGGGACACCUCUCUGUAGCAGAGAACUAUUCUCUUUCUUUUGCCUGUUAAUCCUCCACUCUUAACCUUACUCUUUGUGUGUCUGCAUCCUUGCUCUCCAUGGUCACGAGGCAACGAACCUCAGGUGUCACCCCAGACAAUGAUGCCACUUCAAUCAUUGCAGCUCUCAAGGCAUUAUUUAAGUCUCUGGGGUUUUUUUGUUGUUGUUGCUUUUGUUGUUGUUGUUGUUGGUUCUGGCUGUUUUUUGGGAGUGACUCUGGAAGAGCUGAUCUACAGGGCUCUCAAAUUAGGUCUACCCAGGGAUGCCUUCAAUAGGUAUAAGCUUCUAAUAGUGCCUUCAACGGUGCAGCUUCUAAAAGUAUUUCAAAAAAUGUUUAUUGCAUAUUUUGAACAGCUUUUCACAAAAUGCCUAAUAAAAAGUUUAAGUGAUUUAUAAGAAAA